AAUUUCAAUCGUCCUGUUGAUAUUUGGCUCUGUUGACUAAUGAGUUUGCCGACCACUGACCUAGUGGCUCUCAUGUUUGAUGGUUGACGGUGGCUGUCAGCUGGGACCUUUGGAAUGGCUGAAACACUGCCACAUGGCCUUUCUCUGUGGCAAGAUGGUGGCUAGAUUCCGAGGGUAAGUAUCCAGAGAGAAUGAAAGCAUCAGACAGUUGCUGAGUUUUCUUUUCGAACCUCACCUCAAGAUCACGCAUGUCUUCGGUGCCACAUUGUGUUCUUCAGCUAGGAGUCACCAGGGCUGGCCUAUGUUCAAAGGGAGGGGACUUAGACCUCACCUUUAUAUGGGAGGAGCGCUAAAAGAAGGUGUGAGCCUAUUUUAAAAUUGCCACAAAUCACAUGUUAAAUCUCAAGGCAAUUUAUUAUCAUGAUAUUGGCCUGGCCUGGAGCUAAUUUCUUAGGCCCUCUGGCUUACCCUAGUUAGGAUGUACUCUUCCACUAGGCUCUUGAAUGUCUUGUGGAACCUUGUUACCUCUCUCUGAGUCUCAAUUUGUGCUUGUGAAAGAAGACAAUUACCGUAUCACCUAGAAAUAAAGGUAAUAAUUGACUAAAGGGGGGCAUCUGUAAACCACAUGCACCUGUGCUUGCAAAAACUUGUUUCAUUGUAGCAUUUUAUAAAAAAUAUAUAUACUUAUUGAAGAAGUAUAUACAUACAGAAGAGUA
Long non-coding RNA from Pipistrellus kuhlii (Kuhl's pipistrelle), 716 nucleotides. RefSeq lists it as uncharacterized. The record is from RefSeq and is a predicted model, not a curated record. The transcript is spliced from 2 exons. NCBI's taxonomy places the organism in Eukaryota, Metazoa, Chordata, Mammalia, Chiroptera, Vespertilionidae.